RNAcentral lists this transfer RNA (71 nucleotides) under Salinibacterium sp. Its description in RNAcentral is "tRNA-Lys". It matches the Rfam family "tRNA". From Rfam's summary of the family: Transfer RNA (tRNA) molecules are approximately 80 nucleotides in length. Lineage: Bacteria; Bacillati; Actinomycetota; Actinomycetes; Micrococcales; Microbacteriaceae. The record is from RNAcentral.
GGGGCUGUAGCUCAGUGCAGAGCACCGGACUCUUAGCCCGGAGGUCGGCCGUUCAAGUCGGUCCAGCCCCC